This 94-nucleotide small RNA is filed under the name Arabidopsis thaliana (thale cress). RNAcentral describes it as "ATSL286480". The record is from RNAcentral. Lineage: Eukaryota; Viridiplantae; Streptophyta; Magnoliopsida; Brassicales; Brassicaceae.
AAUCAAGUCAGUAUACAUAAAGUUAUCCAUUGUGAGGGUUUGUUGUUAUGCUUCUUGAAAGACCAUACUAGGGUUGUGGUUUGGAAUCCGUAUU